CCUCUUUCUCGACCUGGGUCCUUAUGGGGGGGGGGGGACCCGCGUCGUCGUAAGCCCCUUCGGGUAGAAAGUCUAUGAAUGUUUUUACCAUCAUCAACUCUCGACUUCUAAGAGACGCGAUUCUUUGAGACAAAAGUUAUUACAACUUUCAGCAAUGGAUCUCUUGGCUCUCGCAUCGAUGAAGAACGCAGCGAAUCGCGAUAUGUAAUGUGAAUUGCAGAUCUACAGUGAAUCAUCGAAUCUUUGAACGCACCUUGCGCUUAUCGGUGUUCCGAUGAGCAUGCCUGUUUGAGCGUCAUUAAAUUCUCAACCCCUCUCGAUUUGCUUCGAGAGGGAGCUUGGAUAGUGUAGGCUGCCGGAGACCUGUUUUUUCAGGACUCUGGCUCCUCUGAAAUGUAUUGACUUGCGGUCGACUUUCGACUGUGCAUGACAAGGCCUUUGGCGUGAUAAUGAUCGCCGCUCGCCGAAGGGCGCAAACGAAUGGUCUCGUGCCCCUGGUCAGUCGAUGUCUUUUCGAAGGCGUCUUCCUUAUUGACGUUUGACCUCAAAUCAGGUAAGACUACCCGCUGAACUGGUAUCAUAUCAGG
RNAcentral lists this ribosomal RNA (587 nucleotides) under Suillus sp. 2 DL-2015. Its description in RNAcentral is "eukaryotic LSU rRNA". The stretch from base 144 to 298 matches the Rfam family "5.8S ribosomal RNA". The record is from RNAcentral. Lineage: Eukaryota; Fungi; Basidiomycota; Agaricomycetes; Boletales; Suillaceae.